GGAACAUUAGGAAAUGGUGUAAAGCAUCAUUCUUGGUCUGUAAUAGUUCCUGACUUCUUUCCUUUGAUGAUAUCUGAAUUUCACUUUUAUUGUUGAUGGAAAGUCUUGGCAAUUCCUUCAAGAUGCCCUCUGCUUUCCCAAUAGGUCUGAAGUUGCACUCAUUCAGAACAAGGUGUGUUUCUGUGACUCUGGUCGGCGCUUUGUGGAUCUAAGGACCCUAAAACAGUUUAUAAUAAAUUCUUAGGGUCUCUACCAUUUUAUUCCUUUGAGACUUUUCAUCACAGUGUUAGAAUAACAGUAUGCAUUUUCAGAAAGAAAUGUAAGACUUAAUGACCAUUAGAUUUGUUUGUCAGAUCUGGUGAUCAGUGAGCCCCUACGUUCUACAAGACCAGAAGUAUCUUUGGGGUUACUCAAAAGGAGUGUUCCCAUAGAAAUCUUUAAGCCUCAAUCUCAUUGUAUGUCCUGGGAUAUCUCCUCUAUUCCUCUAUUUCAGAAUGUCCCCUGUGUUCUUCACCAAAGUUGUUCUGCUCAAAGCCAGCAGAUACCUGCUAAUAUGAAUAAUGGUCCAGAACAAUUUGGAAAGGGAGACAACCCAGCUGUGUCUGCCUCAUGCUACUGAAAAACUAGGUUCCUGACCUAGAAUCAGACAGCACCAAGAAAAAGUCUGGAGAAAAUGACACACCUGGUACAUGUCCCCUUCCAGAACCUGCCUGCAGUUCCUAGGAAUCUGUGGCCACAAGUCCUGCCCUGCCCCGGAAGAGUGACAUUUCCAGUCAGCCCUUCUUCUGCCCCCAGGAUGGAGUUCCAGCAGUCUGCUCUUACACUGGGACACGCCCUGCCUCCAAGAGAUCUAGUGAACCUCUAGGUUAGGCCUAAAUUAUUUUUAUUAAUGUGUCAUUUAAACUUCUACAGUAAAACACCAAGUAUUAAUCCAUUUUAUGUUAAUGUUUAAUAAGCCCUAAAACAAAUUUCUGAUUCAAACGCCCAAAAAGGCAAAAGCUACAAAACCAGGAAAAUAAAGAUUAAUAAUAUGAAUGAAAUGUGACA
This 1047-nucleotide long non-coding RNA is filed under the name Canis lupus dingo (dingo). Its description in RNAcentral is "lncRNA (ENSCAFG00020015554.1)". Lineage: Eukaryota; Metazoa; Chordata; Mammalia; Carnivora; Canidae. The record is from RNAcentral.